Molecule: unclassified non-coding RNA, 354 nt
Filed under: soil metagenome
Description: partial contains 5.8S ribosomal RNA, internal transcribed spacer 2, and large subunit ribosomal RNA
Rfam family: 5.8S ribosomal RNA (bases 1-120)
Source: RNAcentral
GUUGAAGAACGCAGCGAAAUGCGAUAAGUAGUGUGAAUUGCAGAAUUCAGUGAAUCAUCGAAUCUUUGAACGCACAUUGUGCCUCCUGGUAUUCCGGGAGGCAUGCCUGUUCGAGCGUCAUUAAAAUCACUCAAGCUUAGGUUUACCUAUUGCUUGGUCUUGGAGAUGGAAGCCAAUUUAUUGGAAUCCUCUUCGAAAUUCAAUGGCGAAGACCCUUGCUCUCCCAAGUGUAGUAAUAACUUAUGUCACUGAAGGAAGCGAGAAAUCUUCUGCCGUAACCCCCAUAUUUUCUAUGAUUGACCUCGGAUCAGGUAGGGAUACCCGCUGAACUUAAGCAUAUCAAUAAGCGGAGGA